UACAGAGGUCUCAAGCGUUGUUCGGAUUCAUUGGGCGUAAAGGGUGUGUAGGUGGCGCGCUAAGUCGGGUGUGAAAUUUCGGAGCUUAACUCCGAAACUGCAUUCGAUACUGGCGUGCUUGAGGACUGGAGAGGAGACUGGAAUUCAUGGUGUAGCAGUGAAAUGCGUAGAGAUCAUGAGGAAGACCAGUGGCGAAGGCGACUUCCUGGCCUGUUCUUGACGCUGAGGCGCGAAAGCUAGGGGAGCAAACGGG
RNAcentral lists this ribosomal RNA (253 nucleotides) under uncultured bacterium. RNAcentral's name for it is "partial 16S ribosomal RNA". It matches the Rfam family "Bacterial small subunit ribosomal RNA", at positions 524 to 776 of the family's 1533-position model. The record is from RNAcentral.